GAAGAAGAUAGCAAAAGAAACCAACCAGCUUAAAAAAAGUAAAAAACUAAAAUUAUAAAUUUAACAUAAAUUAAUCUAUCUGCCGCCACUUAGAAGUUCAUUUUUCAACUAGAUUCACGUUCACCAAAAAUUAUGAACGAUUCUUUUUAAGUAGUAAACGUAACAUUAAGACAGCGCCACUCUCCUCGUGACCGCGAGUGAAGCACGCUUCUAUCUCUCUUCCUUCUCACUUUUCUUCUUUCAUUCCUUUCCAUGACUCGCCUCAGGCGACUCGGCACCGCCGUCGGAGCCGCUGUUGCCACCGCAUACGGUGGCUCCAUCCUCCUCUCGCCUCCUGUAUCCGUUAGCGACGGGGGAUCGCACCUAGCCGCUGUUCGGGAGAAGAUCCACGAUCCAUUUGCUGCUGUGCCGUCGAGAGAGGUCCAGCGGUCGGCGCUGAUCGGCGCGGGUGCCACAAGUCCUCUGGACGUUCUCGUUAUCGGCGGCGGAGCCACCGGCUCCGGCGUGGCUCUCGAUGCCGUCACUAGAGGACUCCGCGUCGGCCUCGUUGAGAGAGAGGAUUUCUCUUCCGGAACUUCCUCUCGCUCCACCAAGCUCAUUCAUGGAGGUGUUCGUUACCUAGAGAAAGCUGUCUUUAAACUUGACUAUGGCCAGCUAAAGCUAGUAUUCCAUGCACUUGAGGAGCGUAAACAGGUUAUUGACAAUGCACCACACCUAUGCCAAGCUUUGCCUUGCAUGACACCAUGUUUUGACUGGUUUGAAGUACUGUACUACUGGAUUGGCUUGAAAAUGUACGAUUUGGUCGCAGGAGCACGACUCUUACACUUAUCAAGAUACUAUUCGGCUAAGGAGUCUGUUGAACUCUUUCCCACUCUGGCAAAGGAGGGAAAUGGUAGAAGUCUGAGGGGCACAGUUGUUUAUUAUGAUGGACAGAUGAAUGAUGCACGUCUUAAUGUUGGACUGGCUUGCACUGCAGCAUUAGCUGGUGCUGCAGUGCUGAAUCAUGCAGAAGUUGUAUCUUUGCUGAAGGAUGAUGCUGGUGAACGGAUAAUUGGUGCACGAAUUAGGGAUAAUUUAACUGGCAAAGAGUUUGAUACAUAUGCAAAAGUAAUUGUGAAUGCUGCUGGGCCUUUUUGUGAUUCUGUAAGGAAAAUGGCUGACAAAAGCGCACGUGACUUGAUUAGUCCAAGCAGUGGUGUACAUAUAAUACUCCCUGAUUAUUAUUCCCCCGAGGGAAUGGGCUUGAUUGUUCCGAAAACUAAGGAUGGACGUGUUGUUUUCAUGCUACCAUGGUUGGGAAGGACAGUUGCUGGAACUACAGAUUCUAAUACUAGCAUUACCUUUCUUCCUGAACCACAUGAAGACGAAAUACAAUUUAUAUUGGAUGCCAUCUCUGAUUACCUUAAUGUUAAAGUCCGCCGCACUGAUGUUCUUUCUGCCUGGAGUGGCAUUCGUCCAUUAGCCAUGGACCCAUCAGCUAAAAAUACCGAGAGUAUCUCUAGGGAUCAUGUUGUCUUUGAGGAUCACCCUGGUUUGGUCACCAUUACUGGUGGCAAGUGGACUACCUAUAGAAGCAUGGCAGAAGAUGCUGUCAAUGCAGCUAUAAAGUCUGGGAAGUUGACCGCCACCAAUGGAUGUGUCACCAACAAUCUCAGGAUUGUUGGUGGUGAAGGGUGGGAUCCUGCAUCUUUUACCAUUCUUUCUCAACAGUAUGUACGCAUGAAAGUAACAUACAAGGGUAAAGUUGUUCCUGGUGUGAUGGACACUGCUGCAGCAAAGCACUUGUCUCAUGCAUAUGGAACAUUGGCUGAACGUGUUGCUGCCAUUGCUCAGAACGAAAAUUUGGGGAAGCGACUUGCCCAUGGUUACCCUUUUUUGGAGGCUGAGGUGGCCUACUGUGCUCGUCAUGAGUAUUGUGAAUCUGCAAUUGACUUCAUUUCGAGGAGGUCUCGACUAGCUUUCCUUGACACUGAUGCUGCAGGGCGGGCAUUACCUCGUGUCAUUCAAAUAUUGGGAGCUGAGCACAAAUGGGACAAGACAAGGCAAAAACAAGAGUUGCAGAAGGCUAAAGAAUUCUUGGAGACUUUUAAAUCCUCCAAAAAUGCUCAAUUCCAUGAUGGGAAGCAUAAUUAGCUUUGAACUUGGAAUGAGAAGGGAGGAAGUUCCAAAAACAUGGUAUUAUUGCCUAGAGAUUGGGUCAGUAAAAGAUUGCAGCUACUGUAAGUAGCUUGAUACAUCUCAGAAGUCAAUUAUUUCGUGAUUUUGUCAAAGCUGUCUGGCAGAAUGCAUUCAAAUUUGAUGAGUUGUCUGAGCUUGAACUAGCGUUUUUCUCUUGCAAGAAAUGCCAGAGUUGUGACUGUUGGUGUGGAGGAACAUAAUCAAAGUGUCUGGUCAAAAGGUAAACAAAUAGAAUGUUGCAAACCACUUCCUGUUAAGAGAAUCUUUGUUUCAAACAACUCAUUCGGAAAAAUAUUGUCCUGGUCAUUAUUAUGUAUUUGUUUAAACUUUUCUUUGUUGUAAAUAUUUGAGAGAUAUUCUGAAAGUAAGAUGAAAUAUAAAUAUGUUUAACUUCAAAUUAUAUUAGGACCAUUGCUGCAGAAUUGUAUUAAAAAAGAUACAAAUCUUAGUUAAUAGAAUAAACCUGACAUUCUAA
Molecule: RNA transcript, 2653 nt
Organism: Vigna unguiculata (cowpea)
Lineage: Eukaryota; Viridiplantae; Streptophyta; Magnoliopsida; Fabales; Fabaceae
Gene name: glycerol-3-phosphate dehydrogenase SDP6, mitochondrial-like
Source: RefSeq, a predicted model, not a curated record